This 520-nucleotide ribosomal RNA is filed under the name uncultured Chloroflexota bacterium. RNAcentral describes it as "bacterial SSU rRNA". It matches the Rfam family "Bacterial small subunit ribosomal RNA", at positions 355 to 891 of the family's 1533-position model. Lineage: Bacteria; Bacillati; Chloroflexota. The record is from RNAcentral.
UAGGGAAUAUUGCACAAUGGGCGCAAGCCUGAUGCAGCAACGCCGCGUGCGCGAUGAAGGCCUUCGGGUCGUAAAGCGCUUUUCUGGAGGACGAGGAAGGACGGUACUCCAGGAAUAAGGCUCGGCUAACUACGUGCCAGCAGCCGCGGUAAAACGUAGGAGCCUAGCGUUAUCCGAAUUUACUGGGCGUAAAGCGCGUGUCGGCGGUUGGGUAAGUUGGCUGUGAAAUCUCCCGGCUCAACUGGGAGAGGCCGGUCAAGACUGCCUGGCUUGAGGCUGGUAGAGGGAGGUGGAAUUCCGGGUGUAGUGGUGAAAUGCGUAGAUAUCCGGAGGAACACCAGUGGCGAAAGCGGCCUCCUGGACCAGACCUGACGCUCAGACGCGAAAGCUAGGGGAGUGAACGGGAUUAGAAACCCCGGUAAUCCUAGCUGUAAACGAUGUCGACUUGGCGUCGUGGGGUAAAAGCCAGCGGUGCCGGAGCUAACGCGGUAAGUCGACCGCCUGGGGACUACGGCCGACG